This 487-nucleotide ribosomal RNA is filed under the name uncultured bacterium. RNAcentral describes it as "bacterial SSU rRNA". It matches the Rfam family "Bacterial small subunit ribosomal RNA", at positions 29 to 510 of the family's 1533-position model. The record is from RNAcentral.
AACGAACGCUGGCGGCGCGCUUAACACAUGCAAGUCGAACGAGAAGGCGUAGCAAUACGCUUGUACAGUGGCGAACGGGUGAGUAAUACGUGGGCGACCUACCCUCGAGUGGGGAAUAACCCGCCGAAAGGCGGGCUAAUGCCGCGUACGCUUCCAUCUUUAUGGAGGUGGAAGGAAAGCCGUGCCGUGGGCACGGCGCUCAAGGAUGGGCUCACGUCCUAUCAGCUUGUUGGUAGGGAACGGCCUACCAAGGCUCCGACGGGUAGCUGGUCUGAGAGGACGAUCAGCCACACUGGCACUGCGACACGGGCCAGACUCCUACGGGAGGCAGCAGUGAGGAAUAUUGCGCAAUGGGCGAAAGCCUGACGCAGCGACGCCGCGUGGGGGAUGAAGGUCUUCGGAUUGUAAACCCCUUUCGGGAGGGAAGAUGGGACGGGCAACCGUUCGGACGGUACCUCCAGAAGCAGCCACGGCUAACUUCGUGCCA